This 130-nucleotide long non-coding RNA is filed under the name Pogona vitticeps (central bearded dragon). Its description in RNAcentral is "lncRNA (ENSPVIG00000025200.1)". The record is from RNAcentral. Lineage: Eukaryota; Metazoa; Chordata; Lepidosauria; Squamata; Agamidae.
GUGGAAAACUGCAGCAGGAUUCUGGUCUUCAUAUUUUAGCCUCCAACCUAGAGGGAUGCUAGGACAAAUAAUGUCUAUCCUUUUCACAGCUCAAGCUCCCCUUAUUCCCUUGCUGCUAUGUGAACAUGCU